UACGGGGGGGGCAAGCGUUGUUCGGAAUUACUGGGCGUAAAGGGCUCGUAGGCGGCCAACUAAGUCGGACGUGAAAUCCCCAGGCUCAACCUGGGAACUGCGUCUGAUACUGGAUGGCUUGAAUCCAGGAGAGGGAUGCAGAAUUCCAGGUGUAGCGGUGAAAUGCGUAGAUAUCUGGAGGAAUACCGGUGGCGAAGGCGGCAUCCUGGACCGGCAUUGACGCUGAUGAGCGAAAGCUAGGGGAGCAAACGGG
This 253-nucleotide ribosomal RNA is filed under the name uncultured bacterium. RNAcentral's name for it is "partial 16S ribosomal RNA". It matches the Rfam family "Bacterial small subunit ribosomal RNA", at positions 524 to 776 of the family's 1533-position model. The record is from RNAcentral.